GGAUGUGCCUGCCUCGUGGCUCGCCCGAUUUGCACGGUGCCUUGAUUACACGCUCGCAUUCAUGGUCACUUCCGAACCGCGUUAGUGCCUUCCGUCCCUAAACCGCCAACGACCCAGGGCGGCUUCCCUCGCGGUUUGUCAGGGAUCCGCAGGUCCCGGAGAGCCUUCGUCUUACCCGAGAUACAC
Non-coding RNA from Myotis lucifugus (little brown bat), 186 nucleotides. The record is from Rfam. Lineage: Eukaryota; Metazoa; Chordata; Mammalia; Chiroptera; Vespertilionidae.